This 87-nucleotide transfer RNA is filed under the name Colletotrichum graminicola M1.001. Its description in RNAcentral is "tRNA-Glu for anticodon CUC". It matches the Rfam family "tRNA". From Rfam's summary of the family: Transfer RNA (tRNA) molecules are approximately 80 nucleotides in length. Their secondary structure includes four short double-helical elements and three loops (D, anti-codon, and T loops). RNAcentral also lists the same sequence under 1 other name. Lineage: Eukaryota; Fungi; Ascomycota; Sordariomycetes; Glomerellales; Glomerellaceae. The record is from Rfam by way of RNAcentral.
UCCGAUAUGGUGUAGUGGCCAACAUGAUGCCCUCUCACCUCGAUGAGAGGUUAGGCAUAGCCCCGAGUUCGAUUCUCGGUUUCGGAA